RNAcentral lists this ribosomal RNA (427 nucleotides) under uncultured bacterium. RNAcentral's name for it is "partial 16S ribosomal RNA". It matches the Rfam family "Bacterial small subunit ribosomal RNA", at positions 355 to 774 of the family's 1533-position model. The record is from RNAcentral.
UGGGGAAUAUUGCACAAUGGGCGCAAGCCUGAUGCAGCCAUGCCGCGUGUAUGAAGAAGGCCUUCGGGUUGUAAAGUACUUUCAGCGGGGAGGAAGGCGAUAAGGUUAAUAACCUUGUCGAUUGACGUUACCCGCAGAAGAAGCACCGGCUAACUCCGUGCCAGCAGCCGCGGGAAUACGGAGGGUGCAAGCGUUAAUCGGCAUUACUGGGCGUAAAGCGCACGCAGGCGGUCUGUCAAGUCGGAUGUGAAAUCCCCGGGCUCAACCUGGGAACUGCAUUCGAAACUGGCAGGCUAGAGUCUUGUAGAGGGGGGUAGAAUUCCAGGUGUAGCGGUGAAAUGCGUAGAGAUCUGGAGGAAUACCGGUGGCGAAGGCGGCCCCCUGGACAAAGACUGACGCUCAGGUGCGAAAGCGUGGGGAGCAAACA